GCCAGCAGCCAUAUCACUCUGCAACUCACAACUGGCAACCCACUGAAGCUAAGCAGGUAUGAGCUUUGUCAGUACCUGGAUGGGAGACCCCCUGGGAAAAACUAAGGUUGCUGCUGGAA
Lepisosteus oculatus (spotted gar) is the source of this 119-nucleotide ribosomal RNA. Lineage: Eukaryota; Metazoa; Chordata; Actinopteri; Semionotiformes; Lepisosteidae. The record is from Ensembl.